GUCCCCAUCGUCUAGCCCGGUCUAGGACACCAGACUUUCGAUCUGAUAACACCGGUUCAAAUCCGGUUGGGGACGCCA
This 78-nucleotide transfer RNA is filed under the name Candidatus Omnitrophota bacterium. Its description in RNAcentral is "Candidatus Omnitrophica bacterium tRNA-Glu". It matches the Rfam family "tRNA". Rfam says of the family: Transfer RNA (tRNA) molecules are approximately 80 nucleotides in length. Lineage: Bacteria; Pseudomonadati; Candidatus Omnitrophota. RNAcentral also lists the same sequence under 1 other name. The record is from RNAcentral.